CUAAACUGUUCUUCCUAGAGGUCUAGUAAGGGUCAUCUCUUAUUAAUCCAGUGUUACUACAAGAGGAAACCUAAACUAAACUAACUUUAUUUAUACUGGACAGCUCAAUUAACUGUUCUCUCUGGAGGUCCAGUGAGGGUCAUCUGUUAAUUAUGUUUUUUAUAAAUCUCAAGUUUCAUGAAUUCAGAGUGUCAUAUAACAUGCACAUAUCUCUGAACAGCCAAACAAAACAGAAAGAAAUCCGUUUGAGCCAUUCGGUUUUUGUACAAAUUUAUAUGUAAAUUUUCUAAUUUAUACACCACACAUAUUGUGUGUUUAAUGUUUGAAGGUGUCAAAUGAUGAUUAACAUUUGAAUAGAAAACCGUAUGCUAAUGAUAUCUGAAGUUUGUUGUUGCUAGGGUAAAAGCGUAGUGGAAUAUUACCAGACAAGAAAUUCUAGUACGUAAGUGUAUAUAUAUUUUAUUUCAUUAUGUGCCUUUUAUUUUAUGUUUAAUUUAAGAUAGGAUUGAAAAGUG
Paramuricea clavata is the source of this 515-nucleotide non-coding RNA. The record is from the annotation of a GenBank genome assembly. NCBI's taxonomy places the organism in Eukaryota, Metazoa, Cnidaria, Anthozoa, Malacalcyonacea, Plexauridae.